AAACGUUCAAAUAUAUACACAAUAUGUAAUACCAUGCUAUUUAACAACUUUGUCCAGAUAUUAUCACGUUAGGAAAGGUUUUGUUUUGGCUUUGUGUCGAACUGAGUGAGAAGAACGUGAUUUACAUUGAGUGAGAGUGUAUGUUAGCUUGAUGCUAGCUGAGGUAAAAAAAACAUUUACGAGUCACAAAGACUAUGUUUACUGAGUAGCUGACUUGUACUGGAUUUUGUCUAGGAGAUUUUUUUUAUCAAGAAUCCAUUUGUUAGGGAUUUCUGAGUUGGUUUUACAUGUUAUUGGUUGUUUUGUGUAAAAUUGUGCUCACUAGCUGGUAAAGUGGCCGAGCACGCUCAGUCUGGUGUACUUUUAGUGCAUACAGUGAGAGAGAGACGAUUUUCUGGAGGUGCCACUAUCUGAAAGCUGAAUGUAUUAUUGUCACUUUUCUAUAGAGGUAGCGGUAUAUAGAGAAACAUUCAGUUAUUUAUGGUUUCAGUUAUUUAUGGUUUCAUAUAUAGGUGUUUCUAUUGUAUGAAUGUGAAAUACAUUUCAUGUGAAACCGUACACUAAGACAGGGUUAUUUGUGGAACAUUUUUGAAUUCUGCUUUAGGUAAAGUGCAUUUAUGUUAUGUAAUGUAAAGUGUGCACUUGUUUGAUGUGAAUAUUUUCAAAGUACUAACAAGAAAAUAGACAAUUGAACAAGAGAAAAAAAAAAUACUUCAAAAUAAAGAAAGCAGCAGAACUUUGCAGACGUAAACAUGUGUCCGUUCUUUUUACUAUUGCAGGCCACCUCAGCUACACAUGUACUCUGUCUGCACACGCAUCCACGCAUGCACAUACACAUGGACAAACACACACUAAUGUUCUCUCUCUUGUGUUUGUCAGCAGUUCAUCGUGGCCCUGUAGUUCACCUCCUUCACCAAAGCUCUGUCAGGGACCUACAUGAAGAGUGUCAUCACUCAGAGAGACACUUUGACAUGUCCAGCUCUCUCAUCGGUCUCAUAGACGGCAGCUUUGAGAUGGGUUUCAACAAUAACAUUGAGUUGCUUGAGAAUUCAUGUAGUAAAAACCAGAUACAGACUACAGUAUGAUCCAUUUUUUUUGUGGUUCAAUCAGUCUGCUCUCAAUACUGUCCAGUUUUAUAGUUGUUCCUAUUAAUUGAUUGACUGGCGUUUGUCUAUGACUCUACUGUCAAACCCCUAACAUUGUUUUAUUUGAUGCUAUGUUGUUGCAGCCUAGUAUCCAAACUGAUAUGCCAUUCUUAGUUUAAAAAAUAACAGUGUUUAUAAUUUGCUAUUCCUGACUACUGCAGUGUUGUGGUUUCUUGCAGGUAACCUGCUGUUCCUGGCUGUGGUCAGCCAUUUUGGGGCGAAGCUGCACCGGCCCAGGUUCAUUGCUAUGGGCUGUUUCCUCAUGGCUGUAGGAUCCUUCCUCACAUGCCUGCCGCACUUCUUCAUGGGACGGGCUAUCAGGAGAGCUACCCAAUCGCAGAGGGCCAUCGUGGCUUCAUCAGUGAUGCCAGACUUCUGCAGAUGCAGAGAGCUGAGAGAGAGGCCAUGGAAGCAAAGCAAAGAAAGAUAAGUGCUAUCCAUGAGAAUUAUGUCCGGACUGCUCUCAUCGGGGUUGGCAGCACCUUCGCGCACCACUUCGUCCCCUCUAUUCAGUGCAUUCCGCGGCCGAAAGCUCCACCGAGGCCUUUGCCACGAAGGCGUGAGCACAUAGCUCUGGCCCCACUGAAGAACAUCGUGGGGGUGGACGGAGCCCAAGUUCGACCCGGAUCUCACUCUCUGGAGUCCAUCCAGGUAAAUAAGUCAUUCAGCAGCGGUAGCGUGUGGCCUGUUCCCGUCCCUCCCACUGCAGCUCCCUCCAAGAGGGGCAAGAAGAAGAAGGGCAGGCGGGGAGUCAAAGCCCUGAUAGUCCAGUCGGACCAGGGCUGUGCUGACAACAACGGACCCAUUGACCUGAUGGAGGAGGUGAGGGACAUCGGGGCUCACCUGAAGGAGGAGGACUGGAAGGGGGUACAUGAGGUGAAGGCCAUGGGCAGGAGAAGUUUGGGCUCGGCCAUGUCCACGGGGGAAAUAGCAACCAGCUCUCUGGGAAGCCUGAGCUCAGUGGAUAUGAACACCCCUGCGGAGCUCUGUGACUACUUGGAUGUCGGGACCCCGGUCAAGUCGCUUGACAGCCCACCCAGGCCUGCUCCCCCUCCUACCAAGCCCAGGAGCAAACAGCCUCGGCCUAUAAGGUUCCUUAGCCUGCCAAAGGCUGACACCGGCUCAGGGAGAAGAAGAUCGAGGGCUUGACCUUUAUCCGUGUGAUGGCUCAGAACCACAUGGACAUACUGAUGCCUAAACUCCAUGAUAUCUGCUUUGCCAUUAUAAAUGAGGUUAAGAACCUGCGCUCUGCAGUGUCCUGUGCUGCCAUGGCCACACUGGGUGACAUGUACGUCCACCUCCAGAGGGCCAUGGACAGUGAGGUGGAGGGGACGGCACGCGUGCUGCUGCACAAAACCAGCGAGGCCAACGCCUUCAUCCGG
Molecule: RNA transcript, 2527 nt
Organism: Oncorhynchus keta (chum salmon)
Lineage: Eukaryota; Metazoa; Chordata; Actinopteri; Salmoniformes; Salmonidae
Gene name: TOG array regulator of axonemal microtubules protein 1-like
Exons: 5
Source: RefSeq, a predicted model, not a curated record